UCCAAUCUAAUAUAUCAAAUUCUCUCAUAUUGUUAUCAUGGCAUCAAGAGCCAGGUUGGAUCGGGAAACUACCGCUGCUCCGGUGACCUAGUGCUCUUUGUGAUUCUUAGCUCAGUCUCUUUGGUAUUAUAGCUGCACUCGAUUCCCACUCAAUGCAGCCAUCAACUCAUCAUGCCCACAUUUUAUGAUCCAGAGGAAGAAGCUAAGAUCUUCCUUAGGCUUACGAUUCUGAGAGAAAACAAAAAGGUCUUGUUUGCCGGAGCAAACAAAGAUUUCGUCGACAACCUGCUCGGAUUAAUGACUUUCCCCGUCUCUUCAAUGAUUCCUUUUAUCCCCGAAGCUUUUGGGAGUCUAACCAAUGUGAGGAAGAGCAUCGAGAAUAUGGCAAAAUAUCACAAUCCGAUGAAGGAAUUGCUUCUGAAUACUAAGCCACCAGCUCAUCGAAACUGUAAAAACAGGGGUGCACAUAUAAAUCAUCGGUGAUAAUAUACUUGGAUUCGUACAAGACGAAACCUCCUUCUUUAUUAGCUCUUUCACUUGCGGUGCCAUAAUAAUUUACAGCCUGAGUCAUAGAUUUGUUGAAGAUGGAAAAAUAUCACAAUCCGAUGAAGGAAUUGCUUGUGAACUCGCCCUUUUACGUGGCCGAAGACCCUACAGUUUUGUGCCUUUCUUGCAACAAAUCUAUGACUCAUGCUGCAAAUUAUUGUGGCACUGCAAGUGAAAGGGCUAAUAAAGAAGGAUGUUUCGUCUUGUACGAAUCCAAGUAUAGUAUCACUGAUGAUUUAUAUGUGCACCCCUGUUUUUACAGUUUCGAUGAGCUGGUGGCUUAGUAUUCAGAAGCAAUUCCUUCAUCGGAUUGUGAUAUUUUGCCAUCUUCUCGAUGCUCUUCCUCACAUUAGUUAGACUCCCAAAAGCUUCGGGGAUAAAAGGAAUCAUUGAAGAGACGGGGAAAGUCAUUAAUCCGAGCAGGUUGUCGACGCCUUUCUUGCAACAAACCUAUGACUCAGAUUGCAAAUUAUUGUGGCACCGAGCUAAUAAAGAAUGAGGUUUCGUCUUGUAUGAAUCCAAGUAUAUUAUCACCGAUGAUUUAUAUGUGCACCCCUUGUUUACAGUUUCUCUCAUGAAAAAUAUAGCUCCUGGAUGCAAUUCUCCAAAUGCUGAAGAAAUCACUGUGGAUGUCUCUCAUAAGAAACUGGUGAUAAUGGGACUGCUGAAAAGAUCCAUGCAAAGCAACACAGUGUUGUCGGAUCUGUUCUUUUCCGAUGGAUUCGCUUGAGAGGGUCACUCGUACCAAUGGUGAUCAGGGUGGUGAUAUGGGACUGAGCACUACCGAGCAGCGAGCAGAGUGAUGGGACAGGGCACAGGAAGCUUGACUACACUAGAUGACCAUGACCUUGCCAUCAAUUUCUUGAACGAUGAUUUAUUUACGUACAUGGGAUCUUGUUUUAUUAUGUCUUGAAGUGACACUUUAAAGUGAUGUUCAAUUUCUUUUGGUGAUGACUUGUGGUACUAUUGAAUGGUUCUUCUUGGCAAGAAUCUUUAUGGCGGUGGUUGGUUAGAGCAAGUUCACCUGUAGUCAAGAAAAGGCAAAGUCGAGAAGUCAAGAAUUCGACCGGUCAAGCUACUAUUCACUGCCACUGGACAUGGGUUUGCACCCGUUUUUUUUCUUGCCCGGUCAACACUGUUCAUCUUUUCACUGUUCAUGUACUGUUCACCCAAAAACACUGUUCACAUCCAAGUUUCACUGUUUAAAUUCACUGUUCAUUUUCACUA
This is a long non-coding RNA of Rosa chinensis, 1773 nucleotides long. RefSeq lists it as uncharacterized. The record is from RefSeq and is a predicted model, not a curated record. The transcript is spliced from 4 exons. NCBI's taxonomy places the organism in Eukaryota, Viridiplantae, Streptophyta, Magnoliopsida, Rosales, Rosaceae.